RNAcentral lists this ribosomal RNA (437 nucleotides) under uncultured bacterium. RNAcentral describes it as "bacterial SSU rRNA". It matches the Rfam family "Bacterial small subunit ribosomal RNA", at positions 28 to 507 of the family's 1533-position model. The record is from RNAcentral.
GAUGAACGCUGGCGGUAUGCCUAACACAUGCAAGUCGUACGAGAGUUUUUAACUCUAGUGGCGGACGGGUGAGUAACACGUGAGAAUUUGCCUUUAGAGGGGGAUAACAAUUGGAAACGAAUGCUAAUACCCCAUAUGCUUUUGAGUGAAACGGAUUUAUCCGCCUAGAGAGAAGCUCGCGGCCGAUUAGCUUGUUGGUAAGGUAAGAGCUUACCAAGGCGACGAUCAGUAUCUGGUUUGAGAGGACGAUCAGACACACUGGAACUGAGACACGGUCCAGACUCCUACGGGAGGCAGCAGUGGGGAAUUUUCCGCAAUGGGCGAAAGCCUGACGGAGCAAUACCGCGUGAGGGAAGACUGCCUAUGGGUUGUAAACCUCUUUUUCAGGGAGGAAUAAAUGACGUGUACCUGAAGAAUAAGCAUCGGCUAACUCCGUG